UGUUAAAAAUUUCAUCCAUUUCUACAGUUAAAAACCAACGUGGCUAAUAGAAUAAUCAGGCAGUUACACAUAAUGUGCCACGUGUAUCUCAUUCUGACAUACAUGGACUGAUUUUAACAGUAGAAGUGGAUGGGAUUUUUAACA
This is a non-coding RNA of Gossypium raimondii (Peruvian cotton), 144 nucleotides long. The record is from Rfam. NCBI's taxonomy places the organism in Eukaryota, Viridiplantae, Streptophyta, Magnoliopsida, Malvales, Malvaceae.